Non-coding RNA from Trichonephila clavata, 75 nucleotides. The record is from the annotation of a GenBank genome assembly. Lineage: Eukaryota; Metazoa; Arthropoda; Arachnida; Araneae; Nephilidae.
GUUCCUGUAGAGCAAAGUGGACAGCUCACUGGAUUUCUAAUCCAAAGGUCGUAGGUUCGAAUCCCAUCUGAAAUA